CUCCGGGGUGAGGUGUGAUUGGCUGAACGGAACGUCGGUUUGUUCGUCAUUUGCAUAAGCAGGUCGGGUUGAGGAUGCAGGGGAGUGGGCAGUACAGGGGGAAUGUAAGUGAACUGAACUUCUGCGGCGGUAUCGGCUUAAGAAUAAAUCUAAAGGCGCCAGACUUUAAUCCUGCGCUGAGAUUUUUGAGAAUCAGUGAAAGAAAAAAAUAUAUAUAUAUUUUCAUUUUUGUUUGAUUUAGAAUUUGGAUAUAUCAGGACGUAUCAGUUGGAACUGAACUUUUUUACACUAUAAAUAUUCUAAAGAGAACUUGACUGAGUGUGUGGGCCUGCACGCUGUCACUAUAACCUAUGAGAUCUAAAAGCAGAUCAUGUCCUGGGAAAGGCCUGCUCCACUCUAAAGCCCUCCCAGUGGUCUCUGCUUGUACUGAAGCCAACUUCCUACUCUUUUGAGAUACCUUAUUUAGGACCCAGGGGGCUUUUGCUUGCCUCCCCAGUUGACCUUACCAUCACUUGAGGCUGCUGGUGAGUUCUUUUUCUGUUUCAGUUUCACAAUUUUGGUUGUGAUCAGUUUUCCUGUCAAUGAUGAAAAAUUUGAGGUUUCUUUUUUUAGGCCACCUGGAAGUUAAUGUUACAUCAGUAGCAGUUUUGGAUAAAAGAGAUAUUGCUUCCUGUCCAGAACACUGAAAGUUAUUUAUCAGUUGCUAUCUAAUAUCUAACUAGUGCCUUAAGUGGUAUUUAAACUGGCUAUUUCAUUGUUGCAGAGUUUCUCUACUUUAAGAGGAUUUAAAACAAGGAUGUGAGGGCGACAAAAGGUGUAGGCCCAUUUGCUGAGGCCUUCAGACAUCCUGGUUGCAGGAUCAAGAUGUUUUAUCCUUCUAUACUGUUUUCCAGUCUGAACUCUCCAAAUAGAUAUAAAAUGUAACCGAAUAUUUAUUUUUAAAAGUCCGAAAAUGGUUCUAUGUUGUUGAAAUCUAAAUCUAAACCCUUUUAUAAUUAUCAUUUGAUAUAAUGCCUAAACGUAUUCAUAUUGUUGGGUUUUUUUUCUGACUUUUGCAUAAAUUUAAAGAAUAUUUGCCUCUUGUAGUCUUUUCAAUGUGUAUUUGUAUGUGCAUAA
Long non-coding RNA from Cyprinodon variegatus (sheepshead minnow), 1116 nucleotides. RefSeq lists it as uncharacterized. Lineage: Eukaryota; Metazoa; Chordata; Actinopteri; Cyprinodontiformes; Cyprinodontidae. The transcript is spliced from 3 exons. The record is from RefSeq and is a predicted model, not a curated record.